GUCUUUUAGAUUAUAAUUUAAAGUCUAACCUGCCCUAUGAAUAAUUAAAUGGCCGCAGUAUUUUGACUGUGCAAAGGUAGCAUAAUAAUUAGUUUUUUAAUUGAAAGCUGGAAUGAAAGGUUGAACGAAAAAAUAUCUGUCUCAAUUUAAAUUUAAUUAAAAUUUUAUUUUUUAGUAAAAAAGCUAAAAUAUUUUUUAAAGACGAGAAGACCCUAUAGAGUUUUAUAUUUAAAAUUAAUAAUUUUUUAGAAUUUUUUCUUAAUUUAUAAUAUUUUAUUGGGGUGAUAAAUAAAUUUAAUUAACUUUAUUUUUUUAUAACAUUAAUAUAUGAUUUGUUGAUCCAUAAAAAUGAUUAAAGAUUAAAUUACCUUAGGGAUAACAGCGUUAUUUUUUUUAAGAGUUCUUAUCGAAAAAAAAGAUUGCGACCUCGAUGUUGGAUUAAAAUUUAUAUAUGGUGUAGAAGCUAUAAAAUUAGGUCUGUUCGACCUUUAAAAUUUUACAUGAUCUGAG
Molecule: ribosomal RNA, 510 nt
Filed under: Limnebius papposus
Lineage: Eukaryota; Metazoa; Arthropoda; Insecta; Coleoptera; Hydraenidae
Description: partial 16S ribosomal RNA
Rfam family: Bacterial large subunit ribosomal RNA (bases 375-510)
Source: RNAcentral